This is an RNA transcript of Ochotona princeps (American pika), 2107 nucleotides long. It is a transcript of the gene named WW domain-binding protein 11-like, with no coding region annotated. The record is from RefSeq and is a predicted model, not a curated record. The transcript has 3 exons. NCBI's taxonomy places the organism in Eukaryota, Metazoa, Chordata, Mammalia, Lagomorpha, Ochotonidae.
AUGGCAAAAGCACUCAUGACCGCCCCUCUGCACGGGAGACCAGGCUGGUGCUUCAGGCACAAAUAUUCAGGCAAGCCAAGCCCUAGUCAACAUGAUCGUUUAAUCUAUGAAGUAGACAAGGAGUUUGUCUCAGAGCCUAUUUUGUUUGCAGAGGAGUAUUUUAGUAUAGUAUUACACAGAUCUCAGCACUAUUCCAUUAAACCUAGAAAUCCAGGACAAAGAUCUACAUCAUCCACCAAGAGUGGAAAAUUUAUGAACCCCACAGACAUGCCCAAAAGGAAGUCGGAAGAGAUAAUUAAAGAACAAAAACCAAUGCAUGAUGGUGCGAGCAGCGGCUCUGAAGGUGAAGGUUCCUGAGCAGGUUAUCCAGGGCAAUUGGAUGAAAUGGAGUUUAACCCACUGCAACAGCCACUGUUAAAUGAGAAAGUUCUGAAAGACAAGUGUAAAAAGCUGUGUGAACCCUUUGAAUGUAUUCUCCGACCUUAUGAAAAAGAGAAUCCAGCGAUUUAUAAAGAAUUGAGAAAACUAGAAGUGAACAGAAACAAAAAAGGGAUCAGCUUAGCCAGUAUUUUGAUGCUGUUAAGAACGCAUGUGGACAUGGAGAGUAUUCCCUUGCCAGAUAUACCACAUGCUCCUUCCAACAUCUUGAUCCAGGACAUUACACUUCCUGGUGUCCAGCCAUCCUCCAUUCUUAAGAAAACUUCAGCCUAUAGACCUCCACCCAAGGCAGUUUCUAUAAUUCAUCUUCUUGGACAUGGUGUUCCACAUUUGUCCCCCUGACAGAAAACCUCCUGGCCCUCCCUCUGGUCCGUUGCCACUCCAGGUCUUGCAGAUGUAUGGCUGCAAAGUGGACUUUGCCCUGUAUCUUCCCCCUUGUAGGCGGGAUCUUCAUCAUGCUGUAUAGUCCUGAACUUGUUCAGCGAGGUCAUGAUAAGGAUGUUCCCAGCACGAGUGAAGAUUAUGGCUAUCCUGAGGGCAUGGAUCAGGAUAAACAUGAUGACAGCACCAAUGGUAGUGACACUGACAGAUCAGAUGGAGAAAGUGAUGGGGAUGAAUUCGUGCAUUGUGGUGACAGUGAAUGAGACAACAAUGAAGAAAACAAAUCAGGUCUGAGUGUAGGAUUUGCUGAUAUGCCUGGAAAAUCGAGGAAGAAAGAGAAGAACAUGAAAGAGUUGAUCCCUCUUAAAGCCAUGAUGCUCCGAAUGGCAGGUCAGAAACUCCCUGAGGAGGGAAGAGAAGUAGAGGAAUUUUCCGAGGAUGAUGAUGAAGAUGAUUCUGCAGCAGAAAAGCAAUCACACAAACAACGUAAAGAAGAUUCCCAUUCUGAUGGUACAUCUGCAUCCUCAAAGCAGCAGACUCCUCCUCCCCAAUCUGUUCCUUCCUCUCAGACUCAAGCACCUCCCAUGCCAGGACCCCCUCCUACUGACCCGCCACCUGCUCUGCCUUUACCGCCUCCUGGAACACCUACCAGUCUUGCUCCUGCUCCAACACCAAGGGCUCAUCCAUUCUUGGGACAACCUGGAAUGCCAGGACUCUGAGGGCCUUUAUUUCCAAUGUUUACUUCCAGGUUCCCCACCAGGCCCCCCUGCUGGCUCUCUCCAAAGUCUGACCCCAGGUCUUCUUGCUGGCCCUCUGCCUCAGGGACCCCCACCAAGGAUACCUCCUCCUGUACCUCCAGGGAUCCCUCCACCUUGUCCUAGAAUGAUGCACCCACCUCUGGUGCCUCCACUCGGACCUGCCCCACCUGGGCUUUUCCUACCAGCUUCCUUGCCCAACCCAGAGAUUUUGAGCAUCUGCACAGUUUGAUUCUGCAACCCAAGGUGGAUGAUACAAGCGAAACCACCAUUGAGAAGAAAGCCACAGCAAGCGUUAGUGCCAAGCCACAAAUCACUAACCCUAAGGCAGAGAAUACUCGAUUUGUGCUCACUGCAUUGAAAGUGUGUCAGGAGAAUAAAUGGGCUUCUGCAUGCCAACAAAGUCAGGGGAGGGUUCUACUGUGCCUCUUGCCAAAGCAGCUCCCAAGUCUGGUCCUGCUGCUUCUUUGUCCAUAAAAACCAAGGAUGAUGUGUAUGAGGCUUUAAUGAAAGAGAUGGAAGGACUGCUGUGA